CGGCCGUGCGUGACGUGACGUGACGUGACGUGACGUCCGCGCGAGGUGCAGUGAGUGUUUAUCCUGCGCUGCAGAGGUACUCUGCAUGCUGGCUCACUUUCUCACGGGUCUACUUGGCACAGGCGCAGGGGCCCGAGGCGUCAGGGGGCCUCACAUCUCAUCUGUUUCUGUUUAAAGUGCUUUGGCUGUCAUGUGAGUCCUUUUGACAUUUGCCUUGGAUUGGGUUGCCAUCUGUGAAUGAGAUGAGCUUUUUUCGCUGUGCUUCCCAUCUGAACCACACACAGUGCCGAGGAAUCAGAUUCUGCAGCAACAAGCUGUGGUUCAGAGUCACUGGAAUCUGGAUACUCAACCAAAGUCAGCACCAUCAUCAAACAUAGAUUCCUCUUUUUCAGAAACACCCACAUCCUCAUCUGCUGGCAAGUGUGUAGACCACCCCCUCUAUUGGAGAUGAGUCAGAAAGUGCAUGUGCAGAAGUGUCCCUCAUUUGUUGAUGUGUCAGUUCCCUCAUGUGCAAAAGAUCCCUCCCGUCCAUCAUCAGUUGUGUCAGCUGUGGCUGAUGCAUCAAUGUUUGCCUUUUGUGCCCUCCCUUUUCGUAAAUAGUUGGAAUCCAUUGUUUUGAGUUCAGGUUUGGUUACUGCAAUGUAAAAUUAAGCCUAGUUAGAUGCAAUUUGUAUUGAGAUUAGAGUAAAUUCACUUCCAAAAUGAACAAAUCACGUGUUAAAUCUGUAAAACGUACCUUUUUUGCUGUGACCCUCGUCUGUUUGCUUAUACCUUCUUGUCAAUUGUCAAAACCUGUAAAUACAAGUAUUGAAAGAAAUAAAAUCAACAAGGAAAGGGUGAAUGUCAAACUUUUAAUAGUGCAGAAAUACAGUUUCUGUAAUUUCAAGUGGAGACACUCAAGUUCAAGUGUGUUAACUCAAUUGUUUUUACCUGCAUACAAUAUUUUAAUAAAAUUUACUUUAACUCACUGAGGUCUAAAGACUUUUCUUGUAUUUUCCUCUUGCCUGGUCUCCUUGUGUACAAAUACAUACUGUACAAAUCCUCAACCCUGCAAGGUACAAUCAAGCAUUUUACAUAAUUUCUUUCAAAACCACCUGAGCUUUAAGA
Molecule: long non-coding RNA, 1107 nt
Organism: Larimichthys crocea (large yellow croaker)
Lineage: Eukaryota; Metazoa; Chordata; Actinopteri; Sciaenidae
Exons: 4
Source: RefSeq, a predicted model, not a curated record